GUAAAGCCCUCUAAGCGGGGAGGAAGGCGGUGAGGUUAAUCCCGUGAUUGAUUGCCGUUACCCGCAGAAGAAGCACCGGCUAACUCUCAGUCAGCGUCCGCGGGAAUACGGAGGGCGCAAGCGUUCAUCGGAAUUUCUGGGCGUAAAGCGCACGCAGGCGGUCUGUCAAGUCGGAUGUGAAAUCUCCGGGCUCACCCUGGGAACUGCAUUUGAAACUGGCAGGCUAGAGUCUUGUAGAGGGGGGUAGAAUUCCAGGUGUAGCGGUGAAAUGCGUAGAGAUCUGGAGGAAUACCGGUGGCGAAGGCGGCCCCCUGGACAAAGACUGACGCUCAGGUGCGAAAGCGUGGGGAGCAAACAGGAUUAGAUACCCUGGUAGUCCACGCCGUAAACGAUGUCGAUUUGGAGGUUGUGCCCUUGAGGCGUGGCUUCCGGAGCUAACGCGUAAAUCGACCGCCUGGG
This 459-nucleotide ribosomal RNA is filed under the name Klebsiella pneumoniae. RNAcentral describes it as "bacterial SSU rRNA". It matches the Rfam family "Bacterial small subunit ribosomal RNA", at positions 425 to 877 of the family's 1533-position model. Lineage: Bacteria; Pseudomonadati; Pseudomonadota; Gammaproteobacteria; Enterobacterales; Enterobacteriaceae. The record is from RNAcentral.